GCCUGGGUGGCUCAGUCCGUUGAGCAUCUGAUUUUGGCUCAGGUCACGAUCUCAAAGUUCGUGGGUUCAAGCCCUGUGCCAGGUU
RNAcentral lists this transfer RNA (85 nucleotides) under Felis catus (domestic cat). It matches the Rfam family "tRNA". From Rfam's summary of the family: Transfer RNA (tRNA) molecules are approximately 80 nucleotides in length. The record is from Rfam by way of RNAcentral. Lineage: Eukaryota; Metazoa; Chordata; Mammalia; Carnivora; Felidae.